AAAAAAUAAAUAAAUAAAUAAAUAACUCAACCCAAGUUACACAGCUAGUAGCAGAGCUGUGAGUCAACUCCAAAAAAAAAAAAAAAGAAAGAAAUCUAGUAGGGACUGGGCAAGGAGGCUCACGCCUGUAAUCCCAGCACUUUUGGAAGCUGAGGGGGACGGAUCACCUGAGGUCAGGAGUUUGAGACCAGCCUGACCAAUAUGGUGAAACCCCGUCUCUACUAAAAAUACAAAAAUUAGCUGGGCGUGGUGGCGUGUGCCUGUAAUCCCAGCUACUACAAAGGCUGAGGCAGGAGAAUCGCUAGAACCUGGGAGGUGGAGGUUGCAGUGAGCCGAGAUUGCCCCACCGCACUCCAGCCUGGGUGACAGAGUGGGACUCCGUCUCAAAAAACAAACAAACAAACAAACAAAACAAAACAAAACCUCAUAGGCUUGCCAGAUAAAAUACAGGAGGCUCACGUAAAGUUGAAUUUCAGUUAACAACUAAUACUUCUUAGGUAAGUAUGUACCAAAUAUUGCAUAGAAUACACCAGUACCAAAAAAUUAUUCAUUGUUUAUCUGAAAUUCAAAUUUAACUGGGCAUUCUGUAGUUUUAUUUGCUAAAUCUGGCAACCCUUAAAAAUGAAGAUAAUGGCCAGGCACAGUGACUCAUGCCUGUAAUCCCAGCCCUUUGGGAGGCCGAGGUGGGCGGAUCACGAGGUCAGGAGCUCAAAACCAGCCUGGUCAAUAUGGUGAAACCCCACCUCUACUAAAAAUACAAAAAUUAGCCGGGAGUGAUGGCACGUGCCUGUAGUCCCAGCUACUUGGGAGGCUGAGGCAGAAGAAUCGCUUGAACCUGGGAGAUGGAGGUUGCAGUGAGCCGAGAUCAUACCACUGCACUCCAGCCUGGGCGACGGAACAAGACUCCGUCUCAAAAAAAAUAAAAAAGAAGAGAAAAAAGAAAAAAAUGCAGAUAAUGAUGUUGACCAUACUCUGCUAAUUAAAACCUUUCGAUGGUCUCUAUGGCCUCAGGAGAGGGUCCAAGCAUCUUAAUAGGCAUGUACGACCAUUCAUGUCUCUGCUACCAUCUUGCUCCUUAUUGCCUUAGUGUGAGCUUCCCAUUGACAUCAAAAAUCAAAAUCUUUCUUUUGCUUAGGUAGUUUGGCCUGGAAUAUAGAGGUUCCUAUAUGUCUAUCUUUUAAUAUUGUUUAAGAUAAUUUUAAUACCUAAUCACAUCUUCCCUUUGGAGUUUUAAAGUGAAUGUCAAAAUUAUAAGAGCAGAUUGUGAUUAAUUAAUACAUUACCUCAAGAAGAAAAAACUAGUGAGAACACACAACUUAUAUAAAAACAUUAUCUUUAAAAGACAUUGGAAAUUGUAUUUCCUGUUUACUUUGUGUUCUUGUUUAAAUGUCAAAGAGAGAAAAACCCUAGUGAAUUUAAAUUGUGUGUCUAUGUGUUUCUUUGGCUAUAUAAUUUUCAAGGCCCUAUGGAAUACAAAAAUAAGAAGCGUCUUGCUCAAAAAUUACUAAAAAUUUCAACAUGGUAACAGAACAGCAUUAACCUAGGUGUGGACCCUUCUGAGUGCAGGGCCCUGAGUGCACAGGUCACAUUUCCCAUGAAUCAUUUUAUUUUUCUCUCCAACUUAAUUGGUUCAGAAUUGAGGUUUCUCUAAGGGAAAUUCCUUUUUGUUUACACUAGAAGCAUGUGAAUGACUUAAAAUUCAUGAUGUGUUGAGAUUUUGCUAAAUGGACCUACUAAAUAAUAAGAAAAUAAAGCUUAUAAGAACGUGGACUUUGCAGUCAAUUCAAAAUCUGACUUCAUGGUUGCCUUGGAAGACUCAAGGGUUGGCUUCAAGGACACACAAAUGCCCUAAAAUUGUAAUUAAAAUUACAUGUAUUUGUAAAUGCAUUUU
RNAcentral lists this long non-coding RNA (1891 nucleotides) under Homo sapiens (human). Its description in RNAcentral is "HSALNT0168453". Lineage: Eukaryota; Metazoa; Chordata; Mammalia; Primates; Hominidae. The record is from RNAcentral.